This is a long non-coding RNA of Triticum aestivum (bread wheat), 2224 nucleotides long. RefSeq lists it as uncharacterized. The record is from RefSeq and is a predicted model, not a curated record. NCBI's taxonomy places the organism in Eukaryota, Viridiplantae, Streptophyta, Magnoliopsida, Poales, Poaceae. The transcript is spliced from 2 exons.
GUUAGAACUAAUCUUGGCAUAUGUAUCUGCAUGUGUUUUUUUGUUUUGCAUGUAGCUAGUGUAGUCAUAUCGUCGGCUGUACACCGGCAAGAUGUACGUGUGAUACGUACGUAGACAGCGAGCCGUCGGCCCAAGAACGUGCAUGGUGAGAUGCUAUUGUCGUGCGAGGCGGCGGAGGUGCGAGAUGCCGAGUGUCGUGUGAAGCAGCUGCACAAGGAUAAGAGCCAGCGGCCAGCAAGAGUCCAGCCGAGUCGAUCAGUAAGUCUGUUGUGGCCUUGAGAAGAGGUCUAGUAUUAGAUGUGGUCAAGUUUGUUAGCUGCAUGUCCAGAUCGUGUAGCUGUUGAGAGGACGUUGCGCAUGUACUGGACGUGGGCGUGCAUGUAGACAUGUAGUUAGGGAUUAGUUGGUUAGUGGCCGGACUUAGUGGCCUGUGUGCAUGGCAUGAGUCUGGUCCUUUGUAUAUAAAUAUGGCAACAGGGUAAUGAAAAGUAUUGAAGCCGUGAGGGCUGGCAGAUGAAACAAUGUAGUGUAUGUGUGUCUCACCGGGAGUAGAAAGCAAAGCUAGUGUCUCCACGGUGAGUUGUGUGUGUGUGUUCCUCCGUGUGUGUGCGUUUUAUUCUCUUGAUAGAUAGAGAGAGAAGGAGAGUUGUGUGAGGCAGCUCAAGGUAGAAGAAGAAGUGGCGCUGCGAGGUGAGGCGGCGCGAACAAUUGGUAUCAGAGCCUUGUUGAUCCGUGGCGGCGACGGUGGUGCUGGCGGCUAUGGUGGCUGGCGUGGCGGUGGCGCCGACUACGCGGCGGACUCCAUGUGAGGUGGAGGACGUCGGCACGAGGUGGGUGGCCGUCGGCGGUGCGAUGCUGCCGGUGGCCGGUUGCGGUGUGAUGCCGCUAGAUGAUGGCGGUGCGAAGCUGCCACAAGACGACGGUGUGACGCCGUUGGGAGGUACGAAGGCGCGAGGCCGUUAUGAGGAGAAGAUGGCGUGGCGAUCGGCGCCGUGAAGGCGUCGUCCACGUGAAGACAUGGCCGCUGCAUGCGGCAGGAGGUCGUGGUGCCGCGACAGCGUCGUCCACGGCAAGACAGCGCAAGGUGGGCUCCGUUGGCGGCACAAUGGUGUUGAUGGCUAGUUGCGGUGCGAUGCCGCAACAUGAUGAUUGUGUGGUGAUCGGCGUCGCGAGGACGUCAUCCAUGAUAAGAUGGUCCAUGGUGACCGGCGCUGCGACGGCGUCGGUGGCGGCGAGUGGCCGGCUGCGGCGCUGCGAUGGCGUCGUCAAGUGGUUGCGGGUGAUCCGCAUGAGGAUUUGGCGAGUUGGCAUGACAAGAUUAGGGAGGUGAUUGUUAGAACUAAUCUUGGCAUAUGUAUCUGCAUGUGUUUUUUUGUUUUGCAUGUAGCUAGUGUAGUCAUAUCGUCGGCUGUACACCGGCAAGAUGUACGUGUGAUACGUACGUAGACAGCGAGCCGUCGGCCCAAGAACGUGCAUGGUGAGAUGCUAUUGUCGUGCGAGGCGGCGGAGGUGCGAGAUGCCGAGUGCCGUGUGAAGCAGCUGCACAAGGAUAAGAGCCAGCGGCCAGCAAGAGUCCAGCCGAGUCGAUCAGUAAGUCUGUUGUGGCCUUGAGAAGAGGUCUAGUAUUAGAUGUGGUCAAGUUUGUUAGCUGCAUGUCCAGAUCGUGUAGCUGUUGAGAGGACGUUGCGCAUGUACUGGACGUGGGCGUGCAUGUAGACAUGUAGUUAGGGAUUAGUUGGUUAGUGGCCGGACUUAGUGGCCUGUGUGCAUGGCAUGAGUCUGGUCCUUUGUAUAUAAAUAUGGCAACAGGGUAAUGAAAAGUAUUGAAGCCGUGAGGGCUGGCAGAUGAAACAAUGUAGUGUAUGUGUGUCUCACCGGGAGUAGAAAGCAAAGCUAGUGUCUCCACGGUGAGUUGUGUGUGUGUGUUCCUCCGUGUGUGUGCGUUUUAUUCUCUUGAUAGAUAGAGAGAGAAGGAGAGUUGUGUGAGGCAGCUCAAGGUAGAAGAAGAAGUGGCGCUGCGAGGUGAGGCGGCGCCAACAGAGGGCUCUAUUCUCUCAUGAUGCGUUUCCUGGGUUAUUGUUCUGACACGCAAGGGAGAAUUGCAAACUAUGAAGGAAAGUUUGUCAUGGCAGAUCUGCGAAAUUGGUUGCUGUAUUUUGAGUAUGUACCAAAUGGAAGCCUAGACAAGUAUAUUACCGGUAAUGGUCGCAACACCUUUUUUAUA